This 119-nucleotide ribosomal RNA is filed under the name Leptomonas pyrrhocoris. Lineage: Eukaryota; Euglenozoa; Kinetoplastea; Trypanosomatida; Trypanosomatidae. The record is from RNAcentral.
GAGUACGACCACACUUGGGUGAGUACACCAUAUCCCGUCCGAUUACUGCAGGUAAGCACCCACAGGCUUAGUUAGCACUGAGGUCAGUGAUGACGCGGGAUCCCUAAGCGCCGCACUCC